GGGAUAAGAAAUUUUUCAAAAUUAAGCUUCUAACUUGAUUUUAAUAAUUAAUAGUUAUUUUAUUCUU
Molecule: transfer RNA, 67 nt
Filed under: Primeuchroeus sp. M48
Lineage: Eukaryota; Metazoa; Arthropoda; Insecta; Hymenoptera; Chrysididae
Description: tRNA-Ser
Source: RNAcentral